AGCAGCCGCGGUAAUUCCAGCUCCAAUAGCGUAUAUUAAAGUUGUUGCAGUUAAAAAGCUCGUAGUUGAAUUUCGGGAUCAAUACGUCGGUCGUGCUUCGGUACGUACUGGCGUCAUUGAUUUCUCCCUUCUGACGAACCAUGAUGUCAUUAACUUGGUGUCAUGGGAAAUCAGGACUGUUACUUUGAAAAAAUUAGAGUGUUUAAAGCAGGCUCACGCUUGAAUACAUUAGCAUGGAAUAAUGAAAUAGGACGUUCGAUCCUAUUUUGUUGGUUUUAGGAUCAACGUAAUGAUUAAUAGGGAUAGUUGGGGGCAUUAGUAUUCAAUUGUCAGAGGUGAAAUUCUUGGAUUUAUUGAAGACUAACUACUGCGAAAGCAUUUGCCAAGGAUGUUUUCAUUAAUCAAGAACGAAAGUUAGGGGAUCGAAGACGAUCAGAUACCGUCGUAGUCUUAACCAUAAACUAUGCCGACUAGGGAUCGGAUGAUGUUAAUUUUUAAUGACUCAUUCGGCGCCUUAAC
This 519-nucleotide ribosomal RNA is filed under the name uncultured Glomus. RNAcentral's name for it is "SSU rRNA". It matches the Rfam family "Eukaryotic small subunit ribosomal RNA", at positions 569 to 1092 of the family's 1831-position model. The record is from RNAcentral. Lineage: Eukaryota; Fungi; Glomeromycota; Glomeromycetes; Glomerales; Glomeraceae.